This 73-nucleotide transfer RNA is filed under the name Lytechinus variegatus (green sea urchin). Its description in RNAcentral is "tRNA-Thr". It matches the Rfam family "tRNA". From Rfam's summary of the family: Transfer RNA (tRNA) molecules are approximately 80 nucleotides in length. The record is from RNAcentral. Lineage: Eukaryota; Metazoa; Echinodermata; Echinoidea; Temnopleuroida; Toxopneustidae.
GGCGCUGCGGCUUAGCGGUAAAAGCGCCUGUCUUGUAAACAGGAGAUCCCCGGUUCAAAUCCGGGCAGUGCCU